Long non-coding RNA from Camelina sativa (false flax), 824 nucleotides. RefSeq lists it as uncharacterized. The record is from RefSeq and is a predicted model, not a curated record. NCBI's taxonomy places the organism in Eukaryota, Viridiplantae, Streptophyta, Magnoliopsida, Brassicales, Brassicaceae.
CCGUUUCUCUCUUCUUCUUCGCGAACUCGAUUCGAUUUCCUCAUCGCAUCGUCGGCUCAGGUUGAAUCAUCUCUUCAUCGGCUCUCACCAAAUCGAAGAUUUCAGACUCGAAAUCGGAGAGUUUCGUUCAAGGAACCUUCAAUACCCUUUGUAUGGUUCCAAGCAAUAGAUGGGUUUCUUUUAGAGCAUUUGCUUGGUUAAUGACUCUGGUUAAUUGAACCAUGAUGUCUCUCAAGUGCUGUGAAAGAUUCAGGAAGCCUUGUAAGAUAAUGGUUUGGUCUCUGUGAAGAUUCAGGUGUUUGAUUGUCUUCGCAUGAAUUUGAUGAUUCCUUUUCAGCAAAGAAGCAAGAUUGGAUGUGGAUGUGUAUGUUAAAUGGCGAAUCUUUAGCAAUGAAGCAAGAUGGGUUUUGGUUUUUGGCAGUUCUCUGUGACAGAACAUUCAACAUACUACUGAUAUGUCUUGGACAUUGAUGCAGUAGGAACAUUCAACAUGUGUCACGCAGCACUAACGUAUCUUAAGAAAGGAGAGACUGGGAGAGACUCAUCAAGUGGUGGUGGUUAGAUUAUGAACAUAAUUCAUGUUUUUUAAGUGGUACUUUGCACUACACGGCUUCUUGGUACCAAAUUCAUGUUUCUGUUGCCAAGGUAAUUUCUUUGUAUGGUUAAAUCAAUAAGUGUGUCUUGAAUUUUGGUUAGGAAAUCAACAACUGAGUUAUAGGAACAAUCAUAAGUUUUGUUUAUGGUGUGUUUUGUUUAGAUUGUGUGUCAAUAUACACAAGUCUUGGACUGUCAAAAUUAAUAUGCAUGGUUCUAAGUUUCUAACU